UACGAGGGGGGCUAGCGUUGCUCGGAAUUACUGGGCGUAAAGGGCGCGUAGGCGGCACUGUUAGUCAGGCGUGAAAGUCCUGGGCUCAACCUGGGAACUGCGCUUGAUACGGCAGAGCUAGAGGAUGGAAGAGGCUCGCGGAAUUCCCAGUGUAGAGGUGAAAUUCGUAGAUAUUGGGAAGAACACCGGUGGCGAAGGCGGCGAGCUGGUCCAUUACUGACGCUGAGGCGCGACAGCGUGGGGAGCAAACAGG
RNAcentral lists this ribosomal RNA (253 nucleotides) under uncultured bacterium. RNAcentral describes it as "partial 16S ribosomal RNA". It matches the Rfam family "Bacterial small subunit ribosomal RNA", at positions 524 to 776 of the family's 1533-position model. The record is from RNAcentral. RNAcentral also lists the same sequence under 1 other name.